Molecule: unclassified non-coding RNA, 222 nt
Filed under: Hevea brasiliensis (rubber tree)
Lineage: Eukaryota; Viridiplantae; Streptophyta; Magnoliopsida; Malpighiales; Euphorbiaceae
Source: RNAcentral
GUGUGUGUUGGGGGCAGGUGGAGCUCAUACAGGUGGCGAUGGGCUUGGUGACUAUAUCAUAACACGAGGUGUCAAGGUUUGUUUUGCAAGUCGACUGUGAGGUUAUAUGAUACUGCUUUGUAGGGUCAUCAGCAAGUGUGUCCACUGUCCAUGUAGUGACCUUUUAAUUUUUUACUGUAAUGUUGUUUGGAUGGUUGUGUUGGUUUUAUUUAUUUAUUUAUU